This 276-nucleotide ribosomal RNA is filed under the name uncultured prokaryote. Its description in RNAcentral is "partial 16S ribosomal RNA". It matches the Rfam family "Bacterial small subunit ribosomal RNA", at positions 524 to 801 of the family's 1533-position model. The record is from RNAcentral.
UACGUAGGGGCUAGCGUUAUCCGGAAUUACUGGGCGUAAAGGGUGCGUAGGUGGUUUCUUAAGUCAGAGGUGAAAGGCUACGGCUCAACCGUAGUAAGCCUUUGAAACUGAGAAACUUGAGUGCAGGAGAGGAGAGUAGAAUUCCUAGUGUAGCGGUGAAAUGCGUAGAUAUUAGGAGGAAUACCAGUUGCGAAGGCGGCUCUCUGGACUGUAACUGACACUGAGGCACGAAAGCGUGGGGAGCAAACAGGAUUAGAUACCCGGGUAGUCCCUGAG